UACGGAGGAUCCAAGCGUUAUCCGGAUUUAUUGGGUUUAAAGGGUGCGUAGGCGGGAGAUUAAGUCAGUGGUGAAAGUUUGCGGCUCAACCGUAAAAUUGCCAUUGAUACUGGUUUUCUUGAGUACAGUUGAGGUAGGCGGAAUGUGGUGUGUAGCGGUGAAAUGCUUAGAUAUACCACAGAACACCGAUUGCGAAGGCAGCUUACUAAGUUGUAACUGACGCUGAAGCACGAAAGCAUGGGGAUCAAACAGG
Molecule: ribosomal RNA, 253 nt
Filed under: uncultured bacterium
Lineage: Bacteria
Description: partial 16S ribosomal RNA
Rfam family: Bacterial small subunit ribosomal RNA
Source: RNAcentral